AACAUCAAAAGCUAGAAUUUCGCUCUCCAUCACUGUACUAGGAAGCAGCUGAUUCGGCUGAAGCUCUGCAAUCUUCUCUGCAGAGUUACAAAUGUAAACUUUAUAUUCAUGUUAUUUAAUUUUGGAUGUAUAAAUUAUUCUGUUAUCAGAUUA
Jatropha curcas is the source of this 153-nucleotide non-coding RNA. Lineage: Eukaryota; Viridiplantae; Streptophyta; Magnoliopsida; Malpighiales; Euphorbiaceae. The record is from RefSeq and is a predicted model, not a curated record.